Molecule: long non-coding RNA, 7484 nt
Organism: Beta vulgaris subsp. vulgaris (sugar beet)
Lineage: Eukaryota; Viridiplantae; Streptophyta; Magnoliopsida; Caryophyllales; Amaranthaceae
Exons: 2
Source: RefSeq, a predicted model, not a curated record
UUUAUCCUCUUCUCUUUUCUCUCUUGUGUCUCCCUUGAGAGAAGCCAUGUAAUUGAAAUAUUUGAGCUGUCAAUUGCUCCAAGCUCCACAACAAGGACUCAAUAAUCUUCAAGUUCAGCAACUGUCAUCCAUUAUAGCUCAUUCAUUCGAAAACCUGAAGAAAAAAAAAAGAAGCAUCUUCGAGAAUUGAAACCCAAAGCUGAAAAGUCCAAAACCCCAAAAAAUUAUCUUCCUUCUCUCUUAUUUCAUCUCCUCUGUUUUUGUCAAUUUGUUUCUGCAAUUUUCUCAUACAUUCAAUCAAAAUUUGCUCCUUGUUUCUUCAUCAAAGUUGUAUAUGUCUUUGAGUUAUUGAAUUUAGCUACAAAAAUCGUCCAAUUCGGAGUUCGGAGCUGUGAGUUAUGGCCUUUGCAAGUUUGGUCUUGCUGCUGUCAUUUUCCUUCGAGGUUUCGCGAGUUUUGCUGGAGCUUCGUGCUUGCUGCUGUUGUUGUUGUGUUGAUGUUGGUGCUCCUACUUCAUUUCUUCUACUCUUUAGUGUAUUAAUGAAGGUAUAAAGUUAAAAUAUUUACUUCAUUUUUUCUUCAAAAUGUUAAGAACAAAUUCAAAUGUAUUAUUGUUAGAUUGAAUUAGCAAAUUCAACUCUAAACCUUGGUUUUCUUGGUUUUGAUGGCAAAAAUCAACAUGUGGUUGUAUGUUAGAGCUAAAGAUUAAAUCUUUCUUUUUUUUUAGUCCAUGGAUUGAAGUUGUUUUGGAACUUGUAAAUCCUAGUUUAUAAUCAUCUUCAUUUUCCUAUAUUAACUUUAGUAAAUCAGAUUUUAUACAUUAUAUUUCUAUGAAAUUCUAGACCAUGAUUUUGUAUUGUCCUUUAUGGUCAAAAUUUCCAGAGAUUCCGUUAAUUAAAUUGGGUUUAUAAGAUUCUUGUUGAUUAACGAAAAAUGUGAGUAGACUAGUGAGAUGGUUUGUGCAUAAGGGUUGUAUUAGUUCAUAAAGGAGUUUAGAAAGUAUGGCAAGUCAAUUUGUUUAUGAGAAUUGAGUAAUAAGAACGAAUGUUAAUUAUUGUUAUUAUUGUUGUGAGGUGAUUAUUGGAGAUUAAUCAUGAAUUUAAAGAUGUUGGGCUCUUGAAGAUUUUAAUUGAAUUGAGCGUUAUUUGGGAAAUGAAAGAGGUACAAACAUGUCCUUCCACCUUUGAAAUAUGAAUUUGUAUUUUGUAUAAUUACAAGGAUUUCUUGUGUUGAGCUCAAUAUAUAUAUUUAUGUAUAUAUUUUAUAACCGUGGACACCUACAAAUAUUUAUGAUUAUGAGUUGCAAAAGAGUUAUGAAAUGAAGUCAUGCUCUGAAAGUUUGAAAUUUAAAAUUCCGAGAGGUACCAAAACUUUUAAGAAUAUAAUCUGGUGACAUGGUUAUGUGAACUCGUUUUCAUGAACCAAUGAGACUUUAUAUGUUUGUAAAUAUUCUAUUAACGAUAGUUAUUAAAGUAUAAUUAUUUCAGUAGGAGUAUUUGAGUACAAGUGUUGAGUAUAAAUUUUUUUAUAUAAUUACAAGUUUUAUUUUAUAAGGGGAAGUGAACAACAUUUGUGGAGCAGGUUUGCUCAUUAUGUGUUUGGAGCGAGUAUUGCUCUAUUAUGUAGGGUUAUGACCUAGAAAGUCUUGCAAGCGGUACAAAGUUGAUAGGGGAGACGUCCCCAUGAGUUUAGAGAUGGUAUAGUCUCUCUUUUUGUAUAAGUUCCCGGAUUAUGGAAAUUAUAAGUAUUCUUGAAAUAUGAUUUGAGUAUGAUAAUGAGGAAAUGAUUUCGAAAUUGUUUUAGCUGGCUUAGUUUAGGAACUAAUAUGUAUAGUGGCAAGGUACAUGUGGAGGAAAAUGAUUCAGGUUUGAGUUAAGAUCAGAUAAGGUCGAAUUUUGUGUUAUCUUAUAUUACGUUAAGUUGCAGCCUGUAUUUGCCAGUGAUUUCUAUUACGUGAUUAAGCUAUUCCAGCGAUAUAUUUUAAAUAAUGAAUUUUUUUUCGAGCAAUUACCAAGUUUGUUUCUUAUAUAAAAAAAAAAAACAAUUUUGAUUGCUGCAACGACUCAGGGGUUUAUGUCGAAAUUCUGAGAUAUUAUACAAAUGAUUUUAUACUAAGAGAUAUGCUCUCAAUAAAGUGUUCUAAAAUAUUGAUUAACUAGUUGGAUUUAUUAAAAUGUCUUCGAAAGGAUUAAUCUAUAAGAUAGGUAACGAAGAACUAUUUUAUGAAAAGUGAUUAACGAUAUAAAAGUAUAUUUUAAGCCACUAAAAUGGAUUUCUGGUUGAACAGUUUGUACUCACUUUUUCUGAUUUUGUUCUUGAAACCUGUCCUGAUGGGGGCAGAGUUCAUUGUUAGUGAUCUUGCGGGUUCGUAUGUGGAAAGCUUGGAAUGGAGUAAAAGUAGAGGUGAUCAUUUUGGCCCGGCCCGGCCCGUUUUUGGGCCAGGUUUUGGGCAGAAUUUUACGGCCCGCGGGCCGGGCCCAGCCCGGCCAUAUUUUUUUUAGCUUUGGGCAGGAUUUAGGCAAGUCAAAAACGACUUUUAGUCAAUUUUUUGCCCAGCCCGUUUAGGCCAGCAAAAGCCCGCUAAUCUAGGUCCGAAAUAGCGAUCUUUGGACACAAAAUUUCGGCCUGGCCUCAUCAAUGGGCAAAAUUUUCAUGAUCACCUUUAAGUAAAAGGAAGAAUUUUAGUAUCAAGGUUAUAAUUAGAUUUAAUGGUUCAAAGGUUGUAUUUAGGAGUAUAUAUCCUUAUUUGUGAAUAUAAUAUUAUAUUGCUUUGGAAAUCGAGUAAAGGUAUUAUGUAAUCUCUUAUUUGGUUAUUGAGGAUGAUUUGUUGUGGGGCCUGACCCACAGGUCCAGGAUCGUUUUAUAGGUUAUACUGAAAUGAGCAAAAGUUUUACAUUUUUAAAUUUCGAGGACGAAAUUUGUUUUUAAGGGUGGUAGUAUGUAAUAGCAAAAAUUUUAAGUAGGUUUCUUAAAAGAUAAUUAUAUAUUAUUAGUCUAAUUGUAUGUUAAACUAUUGUAAAACAUAAUUGGAAAAAAAAAUUAAUUUCCAAAAAUCAAAUUUGGCUUUAAGUUAUAUUUUGAAAAAAAUAAAGAAAGAAAGCGCAUUGACUUUCUCCUCCUCUCUUUUCUCUCUCGUGUCUCCCUCAAGAGAAGCCAGUAAUUGAAAUAUUUGAGCUGUCAAUUACUCCAAGCUCCACAACAAGGAUUCAAUAAUCUUCAAGUUCAGCAACACUCAUCCAUUAUAGCUCAUUCAUUCGAAAAUCUGAAGAAUAAAAAAAGAAGCAGCUUCGAGAAUUGAAACCCAAAGCUGAAACGUCCAAAACCCCAAAAACUUAUCUUCCUUCUCUCUUAUUUCAUCUCCUCAGUUUUCGUCAAUCUGUUUCUGCAAUUUUCUCAUACAUGCAGUCCAAAUUUGCUCCUUGUUUCUUCAUCAAAGUUGUAGAUCUCUUUGAGUUAUUGAAUUUAGCCACAAAAAUCGUCAAAUUCGGAGUUCGAUAUUAUGACUUAUGGCCUUUGCAAGAUUGGUCUUGUUGCUGUCAUUUUCUUUCGAGGUUUUGCGAUUUUUGCUGCAGCUUCGUGGUUGUUGCUGCUGUAAUUGUGUUGAUGUUGGUGCUCCUACUUCAUUUCUUCUACUCUUUAGUGUAUUAAUGAAGGUAUAAAGUUAAAAUUUUUACUUCAUUUUUUCUUCAAAAUGUUAAGAACAAAUUCAAAUGUAUUAUUGUUAAAUUGAAUUAGCAAAUUCAGCUCUAAAACUUGGUUUUCUUGGUUUUGAUGGCAAAAAUCAACUUGUUGUUGUAUGUUAGAGCUAAAGAUUAAAUCUUUCUUUUUUUAUUCCAUGGAUUGAAAUUGUUUUGGAACUUGUAAAUCCUAGUUUAUAAUCAUCUUCAUUUGCCUAUAUUAACUUUAGUAAAUCAGAUUUUAUACAUUAUAUUUCUAUGAAAUUCUAGACCAUGAUUUCGUAUUGCCGAUUAGUGUCAAAAUUUCCAGAGAUUCCGUUAAUUAAAUUGGGUUUAUAAGAUUCUUAUUGAUUAGUGAAAAAUGUGAGUAGACUAGUGAGAUGGUUUGUGCAUAAGAGUUGUAUUAGUUCAUAAAGGAGUUUAGAAAGUAUGGCAAGUCAAUUUGUUUAUGAGAAUUGAGUAAUAAGAACGAAUGUUAAUUAUUGUUGUGAGGUGAUUAUUGGAGCUUAAUCAUGAAUUUAAAGAUGUUGGACUCUUGAAGAUUUUAAUUGAAUUGAGCGUUAUUUGGAAAAAUGAAAGAGGUACACACAUGUUCUUCCACAUUUGAAAUAUGAAUUUAUAUUUUGUAUAAUUACAUGGAUUUCUUGUGUUGAGCUCGAUAUAUAUAUGUAUGUAAAUAUUUUACAACCGUGGACACCUACAAAUAUUUAUGAUUAUGAGUUGCAAAAGAGUUAUGAAAUGAAGUCAUGCUCUGAAAGUUUGAAAUUUAAAAUUCCGAGAGGUGCCAAAACUUUAAAGAAUAUAAUCUGGUGACAUGGUUAUGUGAACUCGUUUUCAUGAACCAAUGAGACUUUAUAUGUUUGUAAAUGUUCUAUUAACGAUAGUUAUUAAAGUAUAAUUAUUUCAGUAUGAGUAUUUGAGUACAAGUGUUGAGUAUACAUAUUUUUGUAUAAUUACAAGUUUUAUUUUAUAAGGGGAAGUGAACAACAUUUGUGGAGCAGGUUUGCUCAUUAUGUGUUUGGAGCGAGUAUUGCUCUAUUAUGUAGGGUUAUGACCUAGAAAGUCUUGCAAGCGGUACAAAGUUGAUAGGGGAGACGUCCCCAUGAGUUUAGAGAUGGUAUAACCUCUCUAUUUGUAUAAGUUCCCCGAUUAUGGAAACUAUAAAGUAUUCUUGAAAUAUGAUUUGAGUAUGAUAAUGAGGAAAUGAUUUCGAAAUUGUUUUAGCUGGCUUAAUUUAUGAACUAAUAUGAAUAGUGGCAAGGUACAGGUGGAGGAAAAUGAUUCAUAUAUGAGUUAAAACCAGAUAAGGUCGAAUUUUGUGUUAUGUUAUAUUAUGUUAAGUUUCUGCCUGUAUUUUCCAGCGAUUUCUGUUACGUGAUUAACUAUGCCAGCGAUAUAUUUUAAAUAAUAAAUUAUUUUUCGAGCAAUUACCAAGUUUGUUUUUUACAUAAAAAAAAAAUAGUUUUGAUUGCUGCAACAACUCAGGGGUUUAUGUCGAAAUUCUGAGAUAUUAUACAAAUGAUUUUAUGCUAAGAGAUACGCUCUCAAUAAAGUGUUCUAAAAUAUUGAUUAACUAGUUGGAUUUAUUAAAAUGUCUUCGAAAGGAUUUAUCUAUAAGAUAGGUAACGAAGAACUAUUUUAUGAAAAGUGAUUAACGAUAUAAAAGUAUAUUUUAAGCCACUAAAAUGGAUUUCUGGUUGAAUAGUGUGUACUCAUUUUUUCUGAUUUUGUUCUUGGAACCUGUCCUGGUGGGGGCAGAGUUCAUUGUUAGUGAUCUUGCGGGUUCGUAUGUGGAAAACUCGGAAUGGAAUAAAAGGAAGAAUUUGGGUAUCAUGGUUAUAAUUAUAUUUAAUGGUUCAAAGGUUGUAUUUAGGAGUAUAUAUCCUUAUUUGUGAAUAUAAUAUUAUAUUGCUUUGGAAAUCGAGUAAAGGUAUUAUCUAAUCUGUUAUUUGGUUAUUAAGGAUGAAUUGUUGUGGGCCCUGACCCACAAGUACAAGAUCGUUUUAUAGGUUAUACUGAAAUGAGCUAAAGUUUUACAUUUUUAAAUUUCGAGGACGAAAUUCGUUUUUAAGGGUGGUAGUAUGUAAUAGCAAAAAUUAUAAGUAGGUUUCAUUAAAAUAUAAUUAUAUUUUAUUAGUCUAAUUGUAUGUUAAACUAUUCUAAAACAUCAUUGGAAAAAAAUAAAUUUUAAUUUCCAAAAUUCAAAUUUGGCUUUAAGUUAUAUUUUGAAAAAAAAAAAAAAAGAAAGUCCAUUCACUUUCUCCUCUUCUCUUUUCUCUCUCGUGUCUCCCUCAAGAAAAGCCAGUAAUUGAAAUAUUUGAGCUGUCAAUUACUCCAAGCUCCACAACAAGGAUUUAAUAAUCUUCAAGUUUAGCAACUCUGAUCCAUUAUAGCUCAUUCAUUCGAAAAUCUGAAGAAAAAAAAAAGCAGCAGCUUCGAGAAUUGAAACCCAAAGCUGAAAAGUCCAAAACCCCAAAAACUUAUCUUCCUUCUCACUUAUUUCAUCUCCUCUGUUUUCGUCAAUCUGUUUCUGCAAUUUUCUCAUACAUGCAAUCCAAAUUUGCUCCUUGUUUUUUCAUCAAAGUUGUAGAUCUCUUUGAGUUAUUGAAUUUAGCCACAAAAAACGUCCAAUUCGGAGUUCGAAGCUGUGAGUUAUGGGAUUUGCAAGUUUGGUCUUGUUGCUGUCAUUUUCUUUCGAGGUUUUGCGAUUUUUGCGGCAGCUUCGUGGUUGAUGUUGGUGCUCCUACUUCGUUUCUUCUACUCUUUAGUGUAUUAAUGAAGGUUUAAAGUUAAAAUCUUUACUUCAUUUUUUCUUCAAAAUGUUUAGAACAAAUUCAAAUGUAUUAUUAUUAGAUUGAAUUAGCAAAUUCAGCUCUAAACCUUGGUUUUCUUGGUUUUGAUGGCAAAAAUCAACAUGUGGUUGUACGUUAGAGCUAAAGAUUAAAUCUUUCUUUUUUUUUAAUCCAUGGAUUGAAGUUGUUUUGGAACUUGUAAAUCCUAGUUUAUAAUCAUCUUCAUUUUCCUAUAUUAACUUUAGUAAAUCAUAUUUUAUACAUUAUAUUUCUAUGAAAUUCUAGACCAUGAUUACGUAUUGCCGAUUAGUGUCAAAAUUUUCAGAGAUUCCGUUAAUUAAAUUGGGUUUAUAAGAUUCUUGUUGAUUAGUGAAAAAUGUGAGUAGACUAGUGAGAUGGUUUGUGCGUAAGGGUUGUAUUAGUUCAUAAAGGAGUUUAGAAAGUAUGGCAAGUCAAUUUGUUUAUGAGAGUUGAGUAAUAAGAACGAAUGUUAAUUAUUGUUAUUAUUGUUGUGAGGUGAUUAUUGGAGAUUGAUCAUGAAUUUAAAGAUGUUGGGCUCUUGAAGAUUUUAAUCGAAUUGAGCGUUAUUUGGGAAAUGAAAGAGGCAUUGGAAAGAAGACAGUUGAGGGCAUAUGAAAUGUUCAAGACAUGUCGACUUCAAGACAAGUUUCUCUCAAUCAUCUUACUCCAAGGUCCAAAAGACACCAUGCUAAUUUCCUAACUUGGCAUGUACAAGAAAUCCAAUACUAGAAAUUGGAGAUGGCAAGGCAAACCGUGUUACACUGACAAUGGAGGCUGAAAUUUUAUACUAAUUUCUUCUUUUUUCUAUUGAUGAUCUUUAAGUCAUGUAACUUUUUCAAAGGUCAAGGGUAAACGAGGUCUGUAAUUCAUUAUCUAUUAAUUUUUUCAAAGGCCAGUGUACGCCCAAGGUCACAGACACUAUAGUUGUAAUACAUGAUCACCAAAUGGCAAAUAAUCCAUGUCAUAAAAUUCGGAUAUUUGACCUUUUAAAACAA